AGGAGGUAGGUGAGACCGACCGUGAGAACGAACACAGGUGAGAAGCAGGAAGCAUGGCGUUGCUUGGGGUUGCGAGGCUGGUCGCUUUGGUGCUCUUGGCAGUCUUCUGUUCGUCGCUUCAUCAACAAGCAGGCGUUGGUGCUAUUAGGUUGCAUGACAGAAGGCAGCACGCCCAGCAGUGGACGGAGGAGAGGGAUCGGUUUAGGUCAUACAUGACCAUGGACUACCAUCCAUGGCGCCGGCGCGUGCCGAAGCACAACUGAUUCAGCUAGUUGGCCUCGCGUAGCAUCAUCAGGAAGCCUGAUGCUUUCAGCUCCCUGUCCAUUCUUCAGGCUCCAGCAGCAGCAGCAGCAUUCAACGAAGCAUGAUGGGAGACAGGACAAAACGGGCGUUCUGAUGAUCUCAGCUCACUGUCGAUUAAUCAGUCUGCAGCAGCAUUAGCAGCAUCUUGUUGAAGGCUUGAAGCAUGAUGACAGACGGGAGAAGUUGAUGUUUUGAUUCUUUUCCUUGCAGCUGUAUGUGUAUCUACGUGUCCAGCGUGCAGCUCUACGCACGCAAAUUUUGCCCUCCUUACCAAAGGUUAUUUGCUAGAUAUUAUAUAUACCCACCAGUUAUAGCACUAGUACUAGUAAUUAGUGUUUAGUCUCUGUUACAUCUUUGUAAUAAGUUUAAGGUCUUGUAGUUUGGUUGGUUAGUAGAGAGUAGCCGCUUUUUCUGUAAGUGAAGUAGGAGCUAGAGUGAAAUGUUCAGACCUGGAAAUGCUUAUGUACUGAACAUGCCGAUCAUAAGGGAAUAAGUGAACUGAAGGAGCAUUUGCUACACUGUUCCUCUGGUAGUUCAA
Molecule: long non-coding RNA, 841 nt
Organism: Setaria italica (foxtail millet)
Lineage: Eukaryota; Viridiplantae; Streptophyta; Magnoliopsida; Poales; Poaceae
Exons: 2
Source: RefSeq, a predicted model, not a curated record